GACGAACGCUGGCGGCGUGCUUAACACAUGCAAGUCGAACGGUAAGGCCCUUCGGGGUACACGAGUGGCGAACGGGUGAGUAACACGUGGGUGAUCUGCCCUGCACUUCGGGAUAAGCCUGGGAAACUGGGUCUAAUACCGGAUAGGACUCCGGACUGCAUGGUCUGGGGUGGAAAGCUUUUGCGAUGUGGGAUGGGCCCGCGGCCUAUCAGCUUGUUGGUGGGGUGAUGGCCUACCAAGGCGACGACGGGUAGCCGGCCUGAGAGGGUGACCGGCCACACUGGGACUGAGAUACGGCCCAGACUCCUACGGGAGGCAGCGGUGGGGAAUAUUGCACAAUGGGCGCAAGCCUGAUGCAGCGACGCCGCGUGAGGGAUGACGGCCUUCGGGUUGUAAACCUCUUUCAGCACCGACGAAGCGCAAGUGACGGUAGGUGCAGAAGAAGGACCGGCCAACUACGUGCCAGCAGCCGCCGUAA
Molecule: ribosomal RNA, 478 nt
Filed under: uncultured bacterium
Lineage: Bacteria
Description: partial 16S ribosomal RNA
Rfam family: Bacterial small subunit ribosomal RNA
Source: RNAcentral